This 433-nucleotide ribosomal RNA is filed under the name uncultured bacterium. RNAcentral's name for it is "bacterial SSU rRNA". It matches the Rfam family "Bacterial small subunit ribosomal RNA", at positions 29 to 507 of the family's 1533-position model. The record is from RNAcentral.
AACGAACGCUGGCGGCAGGCCUAACACAUGCAAGUCGAGCGCGCCCUUCGGGGUGAGCGGCGGACGGGUGAGUAACGCGUGGGAACGUGCCCUUUGCUACGGAAUAGUCUCGGGAAACUGGGGGUAAUACCGUAUGUGCCCUUCGGGGGAAAGAUUUAUCGGCAAAGGAUCGGCCCGCGUUGGAUUAGGUAGUUGGUGGGGUAAUGGCCCACCAAGCCGACGAUCCAUAGCUGGUUUGAGAGGAUGAUCAGCCACACUGGGACUGAGACACGGCCCAGACUCCUACGGGAGGCAGCAGUGGGGAAUCUUAGACAAUGGGCGCAAGCCUGAUCUAGCCAUGCCGCGUGAGCGAUGAAGGCCUUAGGGUUGUAAAGCUCUUUCGUGGGGGAAGAUAAUGACUGUACCCCAAGAAGAAGCCCCGGCUAACUCCGUG